RNAcentral lists this ribosomal RNA (253 nucleotides) under uncultured bacterium. RNAcentral describes it as "partial 16S ribosomal RNA". It matches the Rfam family "Bacterial small subunit ribosomal RNA", at positions 524 to 776 of the family's 1533-position model. The record is from RNAcentral.
UACAGAGGGUGCAAGCGUUAAUCGGAAUUACUGGGCGUAAAGCGUGCGUAGACGGUUACAUAAGUCGGGUGUGAAAGCCCCGGGCUCAACUGGGGAGGGUCAUUCGAUACUGAUCGACUCGAAGGCAGGAGAGGGUAGUGGAAUUCCCGGUGUAGCGGUGAAAUGCGCAGAUAUCGGGAGGAACACCAAUGGCGAAGGCAGCUCGCUGGGACGGUACUGACGCUGAGACGCGAAAGCGUGGGGAGCAAACAGG